This 497-nucleotide ribosomal RNA is filed under the name uncultured bacterium. RNAcentral describes it as "partial 16S ribosomal RNA". It matches the Rfam family "Bacterial small subunit ribosomal RNA", at positions 28 to 507 of the family's 1533-position model. The record is from RNAcentral.
GACGAACGCUUUCUUCUUUCCUAAUACAUGCAAGUAGAACGCUGAAGAGAGGAGCUUGCUCUUCUUGGAUGAGUUGCGAACGGGUGAGUAACGCGUAGGUAACCUGCCUUGUAGCGGGGGAUAACUAUUGGAAACGAUAGCUAAUACCGCAUAACAAUGGAUGACACAUGUCAUUUAUUUGAAAGGGGCAAUUGCUCCACUACAAGAUGGACCUGCGUUGUAUUAGCUAGUAGGUGAGGUAAUGGCUCACCUAGGCGACGAUACAUAGCCGACCUGAGAGGGUGCUAGGCCACACUGGGACUGAGACACGGCCCAGACUCCUACGGGAGGCAGCAGUAGGGAAUCUUCGGCAAUGGGGGCAACCCUGACCGAGCAACGCCGCGUGAGUGAAGAAGGUUUUCGGAUCGUAAAGCUCUGUUGUAAGUCAAGAACGGGUGUGAGAGUGGAAAGUUCACACUGUGACGGUAGCUUACCAGAAAGGGACGGCUAACUACGUG